RNAcentral lists this long non-coding RNA (450 nucleotides) under Capsella grandiflora. Its description in RNAcentral is "long non-coding RNA (CGRA_LNC000858)". The record is from RNAcentral. Lineage: Eukaryota; Viridiplantae; Streptophyta; Magnoliopsida; Brassicales; Brassicaceae.
UUACCCUCGUUCCUUUGAUCUUGGACAUCUCACUUGGAAUGCAUUCUUUGCGAUCUUGUACCCACGGAGUGGUAGACUGAAGACCAACAACAUCUCGACAAAGAUAAGUACAAGCAAGUAGAUCAUUCGACGUCAGAGGUACUAUUUUUUAGUAACUCGACUGAAAGGAGAGGGAAUGACUCGUAGCUAGGGUCCCAUCUCUCUUCGAUUAUUCAAUUUGAUCCGUCUUCGUCUUCUCUUAUGAAAUUGAUAGUUUGUGAGAUCGAUUAUUCAUAAAUGCUGCCCUUCUCUUAUAUACGAGAGCACCAGAUACACCAUGGAUGGAUACAUACGAUUUCACUUAUCCCAAAAGUAAAGAUCUUAUUCGUAUUCUGAUCGAGGAAAGAAGGCGAGCUAGUUCAACUCAAUGACAACCUCUAGGGCCAAGCCUAUGGAAAGCUUUUCCAAUCU